This 452-nucleotide long non-coding RNA is filed under the name Mytilus galloprovincialis (Mediterranean mussel). Lineage: Eukaryota; Metazoa; Mollusca; Bivalvia; Mytilida; Mytilidae. The record is from RNAcentral.
AUAAAAAAGAAGAUGUGGUAUGAUUGCGAAUGAGACAACUCUCCACAAGAGACCAAAUGACACAGAAAUUAACAACUAUGGGUCACCUUACGGCCUUCAACAAUGAGCAAAUCCCUUACCACAUAGUCAGCUAUAAAAGGCCCUGAAAUGACAAAUGUAAAACAAUUCAAACGAGAAUUUAAUUUAUGUAAAAAAAAUAAACAAAAACAAAUAUGUGACACAUCAACAAACGACAACCACUGAAUAACAGGCUCCUGACUUGGGACAGGCACAUACAUUUUGUACAUACAUAAUGUGACAGGGUUAAACAUGUUAGCGGGAUCCCAACCCUCCCCCUAACCUGGGACAGUGGUGCAACAGCACAACAUAAGAACAAAUUAUAUAAAAAUCAGUUGAAAAAGGCUUGACUCAUCAGAUGGAUACAAAUAGCAAUACAUUUAACAAAAACACAG